GACGAACGCUGGCGGCGUGCUUAACACAUGCAAGUCGAACGGAAAGGCCCUGCUUUUGUGGGGUGCUCGAGUGGCGAACGGGUGAGUAACACGUGAGUAACCUGCCCUUGACUUUGGGAUAACUUCAGGAAACUGGGGCUAAUACCGGAUAGGAGCUCCUGCUGCAUGGUGGGGGUUGGAAAGUUUCGGCGGUUGGGGAUGGACUCGCGGCUUAUCAGCUUGUUGGUGGGGUAGUGGCUUACCAAGGCUUUGACGGGUAGCCGGCCUGAGAGGGUGACCGGCCACAUUGGGACUGAGAUACGGCCCAGACUCCUACGGGAGGCAGCAGUGGGGAACAUUGCACAAUGGGCGGAAGCCUGAGGCAGCAACGCCGCGUGCGGGAUGACGGCCUUCGGGUUGUAAACCGCUUUCGCCUGUGACGAAGCGUGAGUGACGGUAAUGGGUAAAGAAGCACCGGCUAACUACGUG
RNAcentral lists this ribosomal RNA (468 nucleotides) under uncultured bacterium. RNAcentral describes it as "partial 16S ribosomal RNA". It matches the Rfam family "Bacterial small subunit ribosomal RNA", at positions 28 to 507 of the family's 1533-position model. The record is from RNAcentral.